This 306-nucleotide ribosomal RNA is filed under the name Triticum aestivum (bread wheat). RNAcentral describes it as "partial small subunit ribosomal RNA". Lineage: Eukaryota; Viridiplantae; Streptophyta; Magnoliopsida; Poales; Poaceae. The record is from RNAcentral.
AUGAUCUCAUCCGAUCACAUUUCCAAAACUUCCUCCCCCCUCGGACAUGGGAAGAUGGUAAUGUUUAGUAUCCUCAACCCCACAUUCACAAGUUGGACACUGAGCACUAACCUUGACAUGACGAUUCGCCAAAACAAUCGAAGGGGAAGGUUACCAUAUGGGAGAGACUUCCGUAAAAAGAAGAUACCUUCACUCCAAUGGAAUAGUAAGGUCACAUACUCUUUCUGUACCCGGGUUAACAUUGAUGAGGAGGAUGUGGAGAGGACGACGAGGGACUCGGCUAGUGAGGAAGUGUUGAUGAAUUAG